UUAAGUUCAGCGGGUAACCCUACCUGAUCCGAGGUCAAACUUAGAGAAUAUAGGUUUGACGGCUGGCCUCCACCGGGUCCCGAAGCGAGCUGUUAUACUACGCAGGGGGCGCCGCGGCAGGACCGCCACUUCAUUUCAGGGCCUACGGACAGCACAGGGCUCUACCGUAGUGCCCCAACGCCGGGCGAGCACCAGCACCU
This 200-nucleotide unclassified non-coding RNA is filed under the name Microascales sp. RNAcentral's name for it is "partial internal transcribed spacer 2". Lineage: Eukaryota; Fungi; Ascomycota; Sordariomycetes; Microascales. The record is from RNAcentral.